Molecule: non-coding RNA, 89 nt
Filed under: Leuconostoc gelidum
Lineage: Bacteria; Bacillati; Bacillota; Bacilli; Lactobacillales; Lactobacillaceae
Also listed under: 1 other name
Description: TPP sequence
Rfam family: TPP riboswitch aptamer (THI element)
About the family: Vitamin B(1) in its active form thiamin pyrophosphate (TPP) is an essential coenzyme that is synthesised by coupling of pyrimidine and thiazole moieties in bacteria. The previously detected thiamin-regulatory element, thi box was extended, resulting in a new, highly conserved RNA secondary structure, the THI element, which is widely distributed in eubacteria and also occurs in some archaea. Analysis of operon structures identified a large number of new candidate thiamin-regulated genes, mostly transporters, in various prokaryotic organisms.
Source: RNAcentral
UAGAUAUGUCUGGGGUGCCAUUUGGCUGAGAAACACCCAUUGAACCUGAUCACGGUAAUGCGUGCGAAGGGAGAUACAUUUUCGAAUAC